CAGUCGCCGCGGGAAUACGUAGGUGGCAAGCGUUGUCCGGAAUUAUUGGGCGCAAAGGGCUCGCAGGCGGUUUCUUAAGUCUGAUGUGAAAGCCCCCGGCUCAACCGGGGAGGGUCAUUGGAAACUGGGAAACUUGAGUGCAGAAGAGGAGAGUGGAAUUCCACGUGUAGCGGUGAAAUGCGUAGAGAUGAGGAGGAACACCAGUGGCGAAGGCGACUCUCUGGUCUGUAACUGACGCUGAGGAGCGAAAGCGUGGGGAGCGAACAGGAUUAGAUACCCCAGUAGUCCCUGUCUCUUAUAC
Molecule: ribosomal RNA, 301 nt
Filed under: uncultured bacterium
Lineage: Bacteria
Description: partial 16S ribosomal RNA
Rfam family: Bacterial small subunit ribosomal RNA
Source: RNAcentral